This 434-nucleotide ribosomal RNA is filed under the name uncultured bacterium. RNAcentral's name for it is "bacterial SSU rRNA". It matches the Rfam family "Bacterial small subunit ribosomal RNA", at positions 355 to 787 of the family's 1533-position model. The record is from RNAcentral.
UGAGGAAUAUUGGUCAAUGGUCGGGAGACUGAACCAGCCAAGCCGUGUGAGGGAUGAAGGUACAGAGUAUCGUAAACCUCUUUUGUCAGGGAACAAAAGGCGCCACGCGUGGCGCUCCGAGUGUACCUGAAGAAAAAGCAUCGGCUAACUCCGUGCCAGCAGCCGCGGUAAUACGGAGGAUGCGAGCGUUAUCCGGAUUUAUUGGGUUUAAAGGGUGCGUAGGCGGCGAGUUAAGUCAGCGGUAAAAGCCCGGGGCUCAACCCCGGCCCGCCGUUGAAACUGGCUUGCUUGAGUUGGAGAGAAGUAGGCGGAAUGCGCGGUGUAGCGGUGAAAUGCUUAGAUAUCGCGCAGAACUCCGAUUGCGAAGGCAGCCUACCGGCUCCAGACUGACGCUGAGGCACGAAAGCGUGGGUAUCGAACAGGAUUAGAUACCC